CAGAGCGACAGUAUAAAUAGCUGGAGAGCAGUGUGUCCAUACAGAGCUGAGAUUCAUCAGAAUAAGACAUGGUAUUCCGGAAUUCUUCUACAGUGACAACGGACCUCAGUUCUCUAGCCAACAGUUCAAAGAUUUUGCUGCAGCCUACGGUUUCAGACAUGUAACCAGCAGUCCAAGGUUUGCACAAAGCAAUGGUGAAGCUGAGCGUCAUGUCCAGACGGUGAAGGGACUACUCAAGAAGGCAAAAGACCCGUAUCUUGCACUUUUAGCUUACAGAGCGACCCCUUUGGCUAAUGGAUAUAGUGUCAGGGUUUUCCAAAACUAUCUUGAUCAUAUGAUUAUGUUGGAAUGUAUGUAACCAGUAAUGAAUGACCUUGGUAGAUUAGUUUUAUGCUUAUGUUGGUGUGUAACCAGUAAUAAAUAACCUAGCUUGUUCCAUCCUACACAAUGUCGUAAAACAUCCCCUGCUCUGCUAAUCUAGAGGUCAAGGGCCUUUUUUACUUGUCUAUUCAGUCUAUGGUCACCCCCACCCUUUUUCUCUUAAUAAAGAUGGUCUUGUGGGAAGCGAGAGAGAGACGUCAUUCGAUCAUUGCUGUACGCACAGUGACGAAUGGACUCUCCGCCUGCAGGUGCCCAAAACGACUAACUUGUCUCCGAGUGGUUCUUGCAAAAUAAGUUAGAGUGAGCACCACUCUAACAUUUUGGUGCCGAAACCCGGGACCCUCAUACCCACCAUCUGACUGACGGAGGAAGACGUGCUGCAUUGUCGACAAGCCAGCGUCCAUUAGGAGGACCUGGAAAAGAAAGUCCUGGGAAGAGAACUUCUUCGCUGGGCCAGCAUCUUAGGUCUGCCUUCGUCUGACAGAGGUGAUUUGACGGGACCCGGCGAUGCAACGAACCAGGAGACACGUAAGUUAAAAAAAAAAAUAAUAAUAAUAAUAAUUUUUUUUUUUUAAAAAGCGCUGAUACGGCUUUGGUUUGUCCGAGCUAUGAGAUACGGCUUUGGUUUGUCCGAGCUAUGAGAUACGGCUUUGGUUUGUCCGAGCUAUGAGAUACGGCUUUGAUUUGUUCGAGCUAUGAAACGCGUAAAAGUAAAAGUGCACAGGAAUAAAAAUAGGCAAGACAGAAGAUAAGAAGUCUUGUGGAAGGAGGGGGUGUUGUAGAGUCCCCCUCCGGAUGAAGUGGCUCUUCUGGAGCAGUGGUUUUCAAACUGUUUCAUAUAUUUUUGUAAAAUCUCACGUACCUCCGUGUACCCUCAUUUGACAACCACUGUUCUAAGGGGUACAACUUCGCGUUGGCAGGGCUGGGUAACAGGACUGUUGUCUUUAGUUCCCGGGGAAGGAAGGGGUGUUGUAGAGUCCCCUCUCCGGAUGAAGCAGCUCUUUUUAUUUUUUAAAAAGAGGACUUCGCGUUGGCAGGGCUGGGUAACAGGACUGUUGUCUUUAGUUCCCAGGGAAGGAAGGGGUGUUGUAGAGUCCCCCAUCCGGAUGAAGCAGCUCUUUUAUUUUUAAAAGAGGACUUCGCGUAGGCAGGGAUAAGAAAUUUGUGUGGUUGAAUGUGUGACUGGUAGGAUAAAUUGACCAAAAAGCAGUUCUAGCAUUGAUCGACGGCAAUAACACAGGCUAGUAAUUUGUUAGAAGGUCAAUUUAAACCUGCAUUGAGGAUCCUCAAAGAAAAUAAAAAGAGAUUGAAAAAAAAAAAAAAAAAAAAAACCACUGGAAAAAUUAAAAUUAAGAUGAGAAAAAGGAACGAUAAAUCUCUAGCUCUUGAAGGAGAUGAGUUCAUGGCGAGUAGAUUUCUUGAUUGUAUGUAAUACAUGCUGAAGUGGAAAAAAAAAAGAGAGAGAGUUGAAUUGUGCUAGACUGUGGUUGAAAGCUUCACAAGAGAGAAGAGAAUAAAUCCAAAAGACAGAAAGUUGAAAAGUGCUGCGACUAUGUUUGUCAGGCCGGAAGACAAUGAGGCCACAGUGCGCAGGCGCACUGUCCCGGCCACGGCUCCAGCCGCAGCUCAAGCAGAAGAGCAAGAGAGGCAUUCCGCUCGUGUGCAAAACUUGUAUACAACAACUAUGCAGUGGGACAGGCAUGCUGAAAAAGUUAUCCAAAAAGGCAAAUGUUCUGAUGUAUUUCAUCUAGAUGAUGAUAAUGAUCUAAAUGAAGAUACAACGAUCUUCUCCCAAAGUUCCCAAAGGGGAGAGGAAGAGAGAGAGACCAACAAGGCCGAAGGUCACCAUAUAAUUCAAAACCCCCAUCAGAUUUUGACAACUGUUGGAACUGUGGGAAACGUGGACACUGGUCAAGAGAGUGUUUUAGAAAAAGAAAAACGGUGCCAGUCAAGGGGCAGAGGAAGAGGCAGAGGAAAAGUCACAUUUACAGCAUGACAAGCUUCCUCUCCUUUGACCCCUCAUGCUAAUACAGAGAAAGAAAGAAUAGAUGCCCAUAUGACAGCAAAACAUGUCAUUGUCAGAUUAUUGGAAAUUUUUUUGGAUUAUUAGAGCUCCUGUCCAUGCAAGAAGUAUGACAAUGCUGUUUGUAUGCCCAACGACAAAUUACCAGGGAUCAAAUUGUGUGUGUACACUAAAGUUGGAAUUUGCAAAUCAAGUGGUAAAUGAAUGCAACUUGAAGAUAAAUAAAAAAAUUAGAAUGUACUGUCCUUGUGUGCGUGGGAGGUACUAGCUCAUGAUCGACCACAGGAAAUGGCCAGCCUGUGACAAAUCAUUGGUGCUGGGACCUGCCCUACGCGCGCGAGAGCUGUGCAUGUGUGUUAAAAUGAUGAAGAUUGGCUAAACUUUCAGUGUAAAGAAAUUUGUUAGACUGUGGUCUAUCCAAUUUGCACCGCAGAACAGAAACGAUUUGGAAAGAUAAAAAUGAGAGGAAAAGAGAAAAAUGUGUUUGCGAGCAGAAAUUUAUCCACACUAGAUGAGUUCAUGGCGAGUAGCCCUCAUGAGAAAUUUGAAAAAAAAAACGACAGAACAUGCUUUCAGGGAUUGGAAGAAGCAAAAUUGUGAAUUUAAGACAUUGCAAUGCUACAUUUAAUAGAAAUAAUUGAUUGAUGGUGUUAUAGAAUUAUACAAACUGCUAUAUGCGAGCUAAAUCUGAGAAAUUGAGUUCGUUAAAUCUAAAAGCAAAGAGAACUUCAGAUUAAUUUGCCAGUAGUUUUUUGAGUUGAGUUUUUUUGGGAUUGGUGGAUUGUUCUAUCAGGAACCUUGAGUUGAAAAUGGUAUAUGGAUGUUGUGUGGUGAACUUGGAUGAAUUGAGACCAAUGUGAUGGUAAGACUCCUUUUUGGAGACUGUGUGUGAGAUGCAAAUGAGCAUUGAUGAAUGAUUGCCUUGAAUGAUAGGAAAAUACAGGUUGAAUGGUUGAAGCUGCGACUACUAUGGAAAAUUAGUAGAGCGACUUUGCUGAAAGAGUGGUUUUGAGUAAAUUGAAUGCUAAAAUGAAAAACAUAGCUUUUGGAUUAAUGAUUAACUAGAGAAGAAACUGGAGAACCAGUAACACAUGCAGAAGAUGUGUGAACUGGGAAAUUGAGAAGCGUUUUGGAAAGAAAGUCAAAUUAAAUGAUGGAAUCAUAUGUAGUAAAGAACACAUCCUCCCAAAAAGUUUGUCAAGGUGUGAGGCAUGGGCGUUGCCAAGCCCCAGAAGGAGGGAGUGAAUAGGACAGAUAGUGGAAGAUAGUAAUAAUACAAACCUUUACGACAUAUGGAUUUUCUAAUACAUUUAGUGUCAUACUGUGGUAAAAUUCUAUUCUGGUAUCAUGCAAUGUAUAUCUCACUAGUAAGCCUAAGUGUGACCGGGUCAUGUUUCGGGUCAGGUUCGUCCGGGAUUGUUUGGGCCUUGGUCCAUGAUCUCAUUGGCACGAGACAUCUGGUUUCCAUUAACAACUGACAAGAUAUGCACCCGAGUGAGGAAAGGGAGGCUAACUCAUAAAUAAUGAGGAGAUAUUGGGAGUAAUCUGUUGGUCCUUUCUUUAAGACCCUUCCUGGUGCAGAUAGGUUAGCAACAAGAGAGAUUUAGAGGUUCAACAGAAAGACAGUUAAAAGAAAACAACAUUAUUAAUUUGGACAGUUGCGGGCUAACAGGAGCAUGAGAAAGAAGAGCUAAGAAGCGGGAUCCAAUUUGAUCAGGGAGAUUGGAAAUUCACAACACCAUAUUCUAAGUCACAUUUUUGAGCAAGCAUGACACAGGUAAUAACGUUUGAGAGGUCAAGACAUAGAUCAGGGCUAGAUGUGGAACGCAGACCUCGUUGAGUUAAUUUUAAAUAAUGAUACUGAAGACAAUGUACUGUCUCAUUAAAUAGGAACUAUAGACAGAACGUAGCUCGAAAAUAGGAUGAGUUGCAGGACUUACAAUAUAAAGACGAGAUCGCUGUUACUAGGAGAAUUUGAAGUUUGGUAAACAAACGUUACUAGUGAAUGGAUGGCAGCAGCUGCAUUUGGAGAUAGUCUUACAAGUUUGAUGUCCCAGUCUGUCACUCUCCAGUGCCAGGAUCCCUGAAAACUCAAUCCCGAGACUCUGCCUGCAGCCAUGGACGUCUACAAAACGGUGCCUGGCUUUGAGGCACCUUUGACCUUUGGCAAGGACAAAGAAAGACUGUUGUACUUGUAGGGGGACAAGUACACUCGGGAAGAAAGACGACAUCUUCGGGGACGAGAAAAGACAGUGAGAAGCGGAGGAACUCACAAUGUUGAAAAUGGACUCAUUUGAACAAUGGACUCAUUCGAGAGUGAUGGAUGGGUUGACUCUGAAGCAACAACAAAAGAACACCAUCUUGAGAGGGUGAGGUGUGGCAAAAGAUAUGGACUUGAAAUGUCCGACGGCCAAAUCGCACUCCGUGCUGUGGCGGUGCUAAAACUUCGGGGGGCUUGGGGUAAAGUGGAAAGGAGCUUCAUUGUGCACUAGGGUUGACAGAACUGAGGAGAUUUGAUAAAAGAUUUGAUAACGCGUAGAGCUACAGAGAAAAGCAUCAUAAUCGGAGACUGAACGGAUUUGGAUAGGACAAAUAGGCUAAAACGGUAGGAAACAAGAGCGAGAUCUGAUGUUUUGGCUCAUCAGGCAUAAGAAGUAGAAAUUGAGUUAGAUAAAUUUUAGAAUAGGACACUUGGACUAAAGUGAAUUCAGUCAAGAGGAAGCUAGGUUGCUCAAUGUACCUACUCAAUAAAAUAGUAAGUUCGUUGCACCACAGUGGAGUUUGGGUGGUCAAAAAGUUGGAUACGUUCAAUUUUUGACUUUCACACAAUCAUGCAUAGGAGUCGCACAAGGCGACAGUUAGCAAGACAAUGACUGCAAUAGGGAUCACUUACAACUGCACCGACAUGGAAAAGUAGAAGCAAGGGAGUUGAGUAGGGGAUUAUAUGCAGAACAGUCCGCUAUACAGUUACCAAUAGGAGGUUCUAUCAAAAGAAGCUACAUGAGAGAUGUAUAGAAUCCCUUUGUCUGUGGUCUGUGUUCGUGCGUAAUCUCUGUAAAGUUGUGUCAGGCUGUUGUCGUUUGUCUGAGCCUUGGGUGCGCGCUCGGUGUGUGUGUGAACGUGUUAGGAAGAAGACGGCAUGGAUAAGGGAAUCUCCUUUAAGACAGGAGGCAAUAAAUGGGAAAGCCCCUGUCAUGAACGGUCUUUGGUUAGGAGGAAUCAUUAGGAAGUGCUCAAACUCUUCUUUCAAACACUCCUAUCUGCCUCGUUAAAAAGGGCAUUACAAUUGACUACAGGAGUUGCGAAAAGCAGAUGAAGAACAUAGGUAGCAUGAUCAGGGCCCUCGGGCUGGAGGAUGUGUCAAAUGCAAAUUUACUGCCGCCUGAUCUUUCCUCCUCACAGGUCGACAACCCCAUCAAUCCAGGAGACUGGGUCUACAUCAAGGUCAUCAAAAGAAAGAACUGGGCCAGCCAUGGUGGGAGGGACGAUUCCAAGUCUUGCUGACUACCCCCCUCCGCAGUGAAGAUCGCUGAACAACCCAGCUGGAUUCACCUUAGCCAAUGCAAGCUACAAGGAGUGCUGGACCCCUCAUUUUGGGACGGUGGCGAAGUCUGCAAACAACGAUCCCAACUCCGCUAGGCGGGGGGAUGUCUCGGUGUUCCAGUCAUCUUAGUAGCAACGGGGCUCCACAUGCCAGGUGGAUCCUCUGCUGCGUUGUGGUUGGAGCAUGCUAUGGUCUAUGGACACAUCUGAACAGACCAAGUGAUAAUGUUGACCGUGGGAAACGAUGGUCACACGAUGAGAACUUUGAGGACUGGUCAUGAGACCCCAGAAACCCAUACGAAACCAACGCUUGGUACCGGUAUGUGAAGGUCGCUGUGAGAGCGCACACACAGGUGGGAUGUUAUCUGUGUUUCCAAAAACUCCCCUUGCUCCACACAAGUUCACUUGGAGGCCAGAGCAAUGAAUGUCACUGAAGCGAAAUGUAUGGCAUCCAUGGGAGAUUGAUAUCAACACCGUACUGUCAGUCAGUGACGCUACCCCUACCGCCCUGGACUCGCAGGAAUGAAUCUGUGAUCAAACUAUUUUGGAUUAAUCCCAAUGUGACUGUUGGAGGACGACAGAUGCCACAAGUGGCCUAAACCAGGACGCUACCUGGAAUGGACUACACGUGUUUCAUCCAAGAAAACAAGACCCACGGAUGCAUUCACGACAACUGCUCUCCAGGAGGGAACUGGAUGGGAGCUUUGGACAUCACCGCUGUGUGCCAGGAUGGGAGAGCCAUUUCAAGGUGUAAGGGCUCUCUUGCCAACAUGGCUGUACCAUUGGACGAGUCCUACAUCAUUCGGAACGGAUCGUGGCUUUAUUUAUAUUUUCUUAUUGAUAGCAUUCUGGUCGCCUAAGGCAGAGGGACCGUGUGAGACUUUUCCUGCGAUUUAACAUCGGCCAGCAGGUUUUUAGAUCACACAAUAAGUUUGAACUGGAGUAUUGAGGGAAAACCUCUUCUUCGCUGGAAGUUAUUGCUAUCAUUGGUUGUUUUUGUCAUGUUUCACCCUACACGUUCCCCAGCACGUCCGCUGUCGUCUCAGUUUUUUAUUGAUUUUUUUUAUUAUUGUUUUUGUUAUUCUUUAUAUUUUCUUACUUAUGUUUGAUUGAUCUGGUUCACAUAAUCGUAUGAUAGAACAGGAGGGAUAUGUCAGGGUUUUCCAAAACUAUCUUGAUCAUAUGAUUAUGUUGGAAUGUAUGUAACCAGUAAUGAAUGACCUUGGUAGAUUAGUUUUAUGCUUAUGUUGGUGUGUAACCAGUAAUAAAUAACCUAGCUUGUUCCAUCCUACACAAUGUUGUAAAACAUCCCCUGCUCUGCUAAUCUAGAGGUCAAGGGCCUUUUUUACUUGUCUAUUCAGUCUAUGGUCACCCCCACCCUUUUUCUCUUAAUAAAGAUGGUCUUGUGGGAAGCGAGAGAGAGACGUCAUUCGAUCAUUGCUGUACGCACAGUGACGAAUGGAGUCUCCGCCUGCAGGUGCCCAAAACGA
Syngnathus typhle (broad-nosed pipefish) is the source of this 7437-nucleotide long non-coding RNA. RefSeq lists it as uncharacterized. The record is from RefSeq and is a predicted model, not a curated record. NCBI's taxonomy places the organism in Eukaryota, Metazoa, Chordata, Actinopteri, Syngnathiformes, Syngnathidae. The transcript has 2 exons.